GCCAGACUCCUACGGGAGGCAGCAGUGGGGAAUAUUGCACAAUGGGGGAAACCCUGAUGCAGCGACGCCGCGUGAGUGAAGAAGUAAUUCGUUAUGUAAAGCUCUAUCAGCAGGGAAGAAAAUGACGGUACCUGAGUAAGAAGCCCCGGCUAACUACGUGCCAGCAGCCGCGGUAAUACGUAGGGGGCAAGCGUUAUCCGGAUUUACUGGGUGUAAAGGGAGCGUAGACGGCAGUGCAAGUCUGGAGUGAAAGGCGGGGGCUCAACCCCCGGACUGCUCUGGAAACUGUACGGCUGGAGUGCAGUAGAGGAAAGUGGAAUUCCUAGUGUAGCGGUGGAAUGCGUAGAUAUUAGGAGGAACAUCAGUGGCGAAGGCGACUUUCUGGACUGUAACUGACGCUGAGGCACGAAAGUGUGGGGAGCAAACAGGAUUAGAUACCCGUGUAAA
This 447-nucleotide ribosomal RNA is filed under the name uncultured bacterium. Its description in RNAcentral is "bacterial SSU rRNA". It matches the Rfam family "Bacterial small subunit ribosomal RNA", at positions 330 to 793 of the family's 1533-position model. The record is from RNAcentral.